UUUCCAUUUUGUAUUUUUUUAAAGAUUUAUCUAUCUAUUUGUUUAUUUACUUACUUAUUUAAUGUAUGUGAGUAUAUGGUUGUUCUCUUCAGACAUACAAGAAGAGUGUAUUAGAUCCUAUUACAGAUGGUUGUGAGCCACCAUGUGGUUGCUGGGAAUUGAACUCAGGACCUCUGGAAGUGCAGCCAGUACUCUUAACCACUGAGCCAUCUACCCUGCCCCUGAAUACUUUUUACAUUUAAAAAAAAUCCAAAUUUUUAGAUAUGAAAAAGUCAUUAAUCUCUGAUUUUAUUGCCUUAUAGUUGGGCAAUGUUAUCUCUAUAUUUUUAACCUUUGAAAGUUAGCAAAUUUUUUUAGUGCCCUAUUAUUUAAUCAAGCUUCAUGAAUUUCUAUGUUCACUUGAAAAGAAGAUAAAUUCACAUUUAUAGAGGUACAGUAUUCAACAACGUUUUUUAAAACUUCUAGUCUUGCUUCACUCUAGUGAAGUGCAUAGAACACUGAAGAUAGAGACCCACUGAAAGAGACCUGAGAGGAACAAGAAACCUCUGGAAGAAAAUGGCUCCCACCACUGCUCUCCUUCACAAACAACCAAAAACCAUGUUUAGAGAAGUUUCACAAGUGCAUCCAGGGAAAGCUCAAAAAGGAUUCACACCUACAAACAAAACAGAAGGGGCUUCACCGCUAAAGAAGCGCCCACCUCCAAUGCUAAGAAACACAGUGACCAAGGUCUCCUAGCAGGGAGAAAGAGCAUGAAACUGCCUUUGCUCCUUCCUGUGAGUCACCCUCUUUUACUGAGAAGGGACAGAAUGCUACGUGCUAAAGCUGCACAGACUUUGGUGUAGCUUCAGUUUUUCCACCUAUGAUAAGACAUGGUAUUCCAUGGGACUCUGAUAGCAGAUGCAGUAAACAGAUGUGUUCCAACACAGAAACUGGGUAUGGUGGCAUAUGCCUGUAAUUCAGAAGCCUAGCAUUCAGGAGGCUGGGGCAGGCAGGAGGAUCACGAGGUCAAGACUAGUCUGGGUUAUAUAGCAAGGCACAGUGGGGGUGGGGAGAGAGAGAGAGAGAGAGAGAGAGAGAGAGAGAGAGAGAGAGAGAGAGAGAGAGAAAUACCAGAAGCAAGAGACAGAGACAGGGGAUGAGAAAAGGAGGAGGAGAAGGAAGAAGAAGAAGAGGAGGAGGAGGAGGGGCAAGGAAAACAAGAAGAAAAGAAAGACUCUGUAUGAAAACUGAGUGGGGUGGGGGAGGUGUAACCCUUAAGCUGAGCAUCUAGCUCACAAUUCUCUCUGCCACUUGCCAAUAAAGCUUUGGGGAGCUUUGGACA
RNAcentral lists this long non-coding RNA (1321 nucleotides) under Mus spicilegus (steppe mouse). Its description in RNAcentral is "lncRNA (ENSMSIG00000013867.1)". Lineage: Eukaryota; Metazoa; Chordata; Mammalia; Rodentia; Muridae. The record is from RNAcentral.